This 497-nucleotide ribosomal RNA is filed under the name uncultured bacterium. RNAcentral describes it as "partial 16S ribosomal RNA". It matches the Rfam family "Bacterial small subunit ribosomal RNA", at positions 28 to 507 of the family's 1533-position model. The record is from RNAcentral.
GACGAACGCUGGCGGCGUGCCUAAUACAUGCAAGUCGAGCGAACAGACGAGGAGCUUGUUCCUCUGACGUUAGCGGCGGACGGGUGAGUAACACGAGGAUAAUCUACUUAUAAGACUGGGAUAACUUCGGGAAACCGGAGCUAAUACCGGAUAAUAUAUUGAACCGCAUGGUUCAUUAGUGAAAGACGGUUUUGCUGUCACUUAUAGAUGGAUCCGCGCCGGAUUAGCUAGUUGGUAAGGUAACGGCUUACCAAGGCAACGAUGCGUAGCCGACGUGAGAGGGGGAUAGGCGACACUGGAGCUGCGACGCGGUCCAGACUCCUACGGGAGGCAGCAGUAGGGAAUCUUCCGCAAUAGGGGGGAGCCUGACGGAGCAGCGCCGCGUGAGUGAUGAAGGUCUUCGGAUCGUAAAGCUCUGUUAUUAGGGAAGAACAAAUGUGGAAGUAACUAUGGACGUCUUGACGGUACCUGGUCAGAAAGCCACGGCUAACUACGUG